UGGCCGUGCAAGUCUGUUGGGAAAUCUGCUCGCCUAACGAGCAGGCGUCCGGCAGAAACUGCGCGGCUCGGGACCGAGCGGUCCGAGGGGUACGUCUGGGGUAGGAGUGAAAUCCCGUAAUCCUGGACGGACCACCGAUGGCGAAAGCACCUCGGAAGAUCGGAUCCGACAGUGAGGGACGAAAGCUGGGGUCACGAACCGGAUUAGAUACCCGGGUAGUCCCAGCUGUAAACGAUGCCAGUUAGGUGUGGCGCGGGCUACGAGCUCGUGCCGUGCCGCAGCGAAGGCGAUAAACUGGCCGCCUGGGAA
RNAcentral lists this ribosomal RNA (309 nucleotides) under uncultured archaeon. RNAcentral's name for it is "bacterial SSU rRNA". It matches the Rfam family "Archaeal small subunit ribosomal RNA", at positions 526 to 834 of the family's 1478-position model. The record is from RNAcentral.